GGGGCUGAUCGGUUUCGACAGCGUCUGCUGAUCUGCGAGAAGCGGGCCGAGGAUGCAGGGUUAUCUCGUUAACGCCCCCUGCAAACCAAUAAGUGCCAACUCCAAGCGCACUGACUUCGCCCUCGCUGCAUAAGCGAGCCCGAUAGUCCGUCAGACCGUGGCUGAUCCCGACACGGAUCCUGGCGUCAUCUAGGGAUCUUGCUGCGACGUGGCGUCGAGACGCGUCGUGGGACUUUUGCUCGGCUGGGCUCGUCGAUCUAUGUGUCUGUGCUAAAGAUCGGAGCCGAUGAGAACGCCUCCACAGACUGCGCCCGGAGAAACCCCAGUGACCCAGCGCUGGACGGGGGUUCGAUUCCCCCCAGCUCCACCA
RNAcentral lists this transfer-messenger RNA (370 nucleotides) under Microbacterium faecale. It matches the Rfam family "transfer-messenger RNA". Rfam says of the family: Bacterial tmRNA, also known as 10Sa RNA or SsrA, is named for its dual tRNA and mRNA-like properties. Its role is to liberate the mRNA from a stalled ribosome. The record is from RNAcentral. Lineage: Bacteria; Bacillati; Actinomycetota; Actinomycetes; Micrococcales; Microbacteriaceae. RNAcentral also lists the same sequence under 1 other name.